Molecule: ribosomal RNA, 973 nt
Filed under: Ischnothyreus sp. 198
Lineage: Eukaryota; Metazoa; Arthropoda; Arachnida; Araneae; Oonopidae
Description: eukaryotic LSU rRNA
Rfam family: Eukaryotic large subunit ribosomal RNA
Source: RNAcentral
GUUCCUCACGAGCGUUUGAAAAAUGUGGCGUUUAGGAGGUCACGUGCCGAGGUUCGACCGUGCAGCAAGUCCCCCUGACCGGGGCUGUAACCCAGAGUGGGUGCGAGGCCCAUAGCUGCUGUGUCUACCUUGGAUGUUACCUCUUGGGAGUCGGGUUGCUUGGGAGUGCAACCCUAAGUGGGUGGUAAACUCCACCUAAGACUAAAUACAGCCGUGAGACCGAUAGCAAACAAGUACCGUGAGGGAAAGUUGCAAAGAACUUUGAAGAGAGAGUUCAAGAGUACGUGAAACUGCUCAGAGGCAAACAUGUGGGCCCUCGAAAUCCUCCGGCCAGGGGAUUCAGUCAGGAAAGGCUGAGGUGGUGUGCGAUAUUAACGGACCCUAUCCGGGGCCGGGUCGCUACUGCGGUCUCAGUUUGACCUGACGCAUUUCCUCCUGCACAAGGACGCCGCAUCCGGUUGGGUAGCUGCGUGAGUCGGCCAUGAGGACGAGCGAUGGAAGUUGGCCGGUGGCGUUGCUCUGCACUGCCGGUUGUUAGCCUGUUUGUCCGUGGCACGACACCCGACCGAGGUUAAUUCGUUCCCUCUCGGGAACUGGCCGUCCCCUUCGGAGCAGAUGCUGGAAGGUGUUUCAUGGAAUCGCUUCUUCACUCUAGAAGUGUGUGGCGAUCCGUGUUCCCUGUUGGUGUUCAACGGCUAGCGGCGAGUAAGUCGGUCACCCACAUGGCCCGUCUUGAAACACGGACCAAGGAGUCUAACAUGUGCGCGAGUCACGGGGUCUUGAAUAGGCCCAGAGGCGCAAUGAAAGUGAAAGUCGAUCUUGCAUCGGCCGUGUUGGGAUCUCUCGUCCUUUGUGGCGGGAAAGCACCAACGAUCCGUCCUAUCCGAUUUAUCGGUUGGCUGGAAUCUGAGCGUACACGUUGGGACCCGAAAGAUGGCGAACUAUGCCUGGGCAGGACGAAGCCAGAGGAAAC